RNAcentral lists this ribosomal RNA (295 nucleotides) under Nostoc sp. GBBB01. RNAcentral's name for it is "partial 16S ribosomal RNA". It matches the Rfam family "Bacterial small subunit ribosomal RNA", at positions 1 to 325 of the family's 1533-position model. Lineage: Bacteria; Bacillati; Cyanobacteriota; Cyanophyceae; Nostocales; Nostocaceae. The record is from RNAcentral.
AAAACGGAGAGUUUGAUCCUGGCUCAGGAUGAACGCUGGCGGUAUGCUUAACACAUGCAAGUCGAACGGUGUCUUCGGACAUAGUGGCGGACGGGUGAGUAACGCGUGAGAAUCUAGCUUCAGGUCUGGGACAACCACUGGAAACGGUGGCUAAUACCGGAUGUGCCGGAAGGUGAAAGGCUUGCUGCCUGAAGAUGAGCUCGCGUCCGAUUAGCUAGUAGGUGGGGUAAGAGCCUACCUAGGCGACGAUCGGUAGCUGGUCUGAGAGGAUGACCAGCCACACUGGGACGGAGAC